RNAcentral lists this long non-coding RNA (202 nucleotides) under Nicotiana benthamiana. RNAcentral's name for it is "long non-coding RNA (NBEN_LNC000087)". Lineage: Eukaryota; Viridiplantae; Streptophyta; Magnoliopsida; Solanales; Solanaceae. The record is from RNAcentral.
GAUAAUAUUAUCCUGAAAAAGCAUUUGUAGCCACAUAAAAAUAUUCUAAAAAAUCUAAAAGAAUUUUACCAUUAGUCCAAUCUUGGGUAGUUAGCAUUUCAUCAUCUUCUUCACCACAAUCCCGAGAUUAUACGUAGCGUUAAUUGGGUUUUUAUAUUCAUACGCUACUACUAAACUUUCGUACAUGUAAUUCCACCUAGUC